This 83-nucleotide transfer RNA is filed under the name Chlorobium chlorochromatii CaD3. RNAcentral describes it as "tRNA-Ser". The record is from RNAcentral. Lineage: Bacteria; Pseudomonadati; Chlorobiota; Chlorobiia; Chlorobiales; Chlorobiaceae.
AUGUAUUCACGCAUUCGCACUAACUCGUUUUCAUUUCAGAAUGUAAGUUAUUGCUAAAUAACGGAAUUUCUGGAUUGCGCGCU